RNAcentral lists this unclassified non-coding RNA (741 nucleotides) under uncultured Bordetella sp. RNAcentral describes it as "partial 16S-23S ribosomal RNA intergenic spacer". It matches the Rfam family "Bacterial small subunit ribosomal RNA", at positions 10 to 763 of the family's 1533-position model. Lineage: Bacteria; Pseudomonadati; Pseudomonadota; Betaproteobacteria; Burkholderiales; Alcaligenaceae. The record is from RNAcentral.
AGUUCGAUCCUGGCUCAGAUUGAACGCUGGCGGAUGCUUUACACAUGCAAGUCGAACGGCAGCACGGACUUCGGUCUGGUGGCGAGUGGCGAACGGGUGAGUAAUGUAUCGGAACGUGCCUAGUAGCGAUAACUACGCGAAAGCGUAGCUAAUACCGCAUACGCCCUUCGGGGGAAAGCGGGGGACCUUCGGGGCCUCGCACUAUUAGAGCGGCCGAUAUCGGAUUAGCUAGUUGGUGGGGUAACGGCCUCACUGGGCGACGAUCCGCAGCUGGUUUGAGAGGACGACCAGCCACACUGGGACUGAGACACGGGCCCAGACUCCUACGGAGGCAGCAGUGGGGAAUUUUGGACAAUGGGGAAACCCUGAUCCAGCCAUCCCGCGUGCGAUGAAGGCCUUCGGGUUGUAAAGCACUUUUGGCAGGAAGAACGGCACGGAUAAUACCCCGCAACUGACGGUACCUGCAGAAUAAGCACCGGUUAACUACGUGUCAGCAGCCGCGCAAUACGUAGGGUGCAAGCGUUAAUCUGAAUCACGCUGGGCGAAGCGUGCGCAGGCGGUUCGGAAAGAAAGAUGUGAAAUCCCAGAGCUUAACUUUGGAACUGCAUUUUUAACUACCGAGCUAGAGUGUGUCGAGGGAGGUGGAAUUCGCGUAGCAGUGAAAUGCGUAGAUAUGCGGAGGAACACCGAUGGCGAAGGCAGCUUCCUGGGAUAACACUGACGCUCAUGCACGAAAGCGUG